GUUUGGAUAGAUUAGAAUUUAGAAGUUAUUCUUGGUUUGGUUUUGAAGAUUUGCUUAUUUUGAGAAGAUGCGUUCUCCUUGGCCAUUGAAUAAGGGAUAUUCGUUCGUUGAAUUUUAUUGUUCGAUGGUUUCUUCUAAGUAGCGAAUAAAAUUUCCAAAAGAGCAUGUCUCAGGAGAUCAUCAACAGCCGUGAGCUGCAGAUGAUGAUAACGUUGGAUUAAAGGUGCGAAUGCGAGCACGGUGAUGAGUUGACUCCCUGACCAGUCCUGAGCUGGCCAUAGGCGAAACAUAGUUUAAGGGCUUGAGGGAACUAAUGGCCUCUCGGGCUGUUGCAAGGGAUGAGAAAGAUCCCUUCAGUGUUUGCAUCUCAUGAGAUUGUCAAACGCCACACGUUUAAAUUUAUUUAUCACAUGGUUUGUCGUUUAUUACUAUAUGUUGAUUAAAUUUAUAGAAAAUUGUAAACAAUAUAACAAACAGCCCUUCUUCUAUAUUAUAUAGACUGAUCAGUAGACUCAUAAUUUCAAAAGAUUUUUCAGCCGGUACCUUAUAUAAGUAAUUUAUUGAUAUUCUCAACUUAGGGUUACAUGGACCCGGAAUUAUAAGGAUGAAGAUUAAGAAGUGGAUGCAAACAAAGAUAUUGAAGAGGAGAUGAUGCCGGGGCUGCUGCAGAUUGUGAUCGUUCUCGUCGUUGCAUGAGACUCUUGAGUCGUUGUUGGCAUCGAAUGCUAGCUGCAGAGGUGGCAAGUCAAAAAAGUUGCCAACUCUCUCCAGUGAAGCUGAGAGGCAAAGCUGCAUUGAUGGAUACUAUGCAAUAGUUGGACCUUACUCCUUAGCAAAUUCAGAUAUUUUUCAAGAAACAAGUGAUAGUCCCCUACCCUGCUUUUGUCCCCCAAAAAAGUCUAAAAGAUAUGCACCACUAGUUUGUUUUGAUAACUGUACAAGAAAAGAUAAGGGCAAGCAUUAUAUUAGUAUUUGCUGUGAAAACUUCUCAUUUGAAGCAUCACAAAUCAGAAUAUUGUCUUAAGCUCCAUAAUGCUUUUGAGUUGAGACCCUAAAGUUUAUUGUUUUUUCACUAGUGAUUGAUAAGAUUCUCUAAGCACACUGGUCUCCAUGUACAUUUUUUUUCAAUAAUGUUAAUUUGCCUCAGACAAUAUAAGUUUUGGAUAGUACUGCUAUAAUUUUUUCAUUACCAGCAUUUUCUUGGAGUACCAUGUAGUGGAAACUGAAAGGUCUGCAAAAAAAUAAUAUUAGUAUUGGAAAACAAUGAUAUUUUUCUUUGAGGGGAAGCAAAAUGAUGAGCAAUGAGAGGCCCCAAGAAUUGCACAGAAUUAGAUUGAA
This is a long non-coding RNA of Salvia splendens (bonfire salvia), 1338 nucleotides long. RefSeq lists it as uncharacterized. The record is from RefSeq and is a predicted model, not a curated record. The transcript is spliced from 3 exons. NCBI's taxonomy places the organism in Eukaryota, Viridiplantae, Streptophyta, Magnoliopsida, Lamiales, Lamiaceae.